Molecule: ribosomal RNA, 433 nt
Filed under: uncultured bacterium
Lineage: Bacteria
Description: partial 16S ribosomal RNA
Rfam family: Bacterial small subunit ribosomal RNA
Source: RNAcentral
AACGAACGCUGGCGGCAUGCCUAACACAUGCAAGUCGAACGAGACCUUCGGGUCUAGUGGCGCACGGGUGCGUAACGCGUGGGAACCUGCCCUUAGGUUCGGAAUAACUCCCCGAAAGGGGUGCUAAUACCGGAUAAUGUCUUCGGACCAAAGAUUUAUCGCCUUUGGAUGGGCCCGCGUUGGAUUAGCUAGUUGGUAGGGUAAAAGCCUACCAAGGCGACGAUCCAUAGCUGGUCUGAGAGGAUGAUCAGCCACACUGGGACUGAGACACGGCCCAGGCUCCUACGGGAGGCAGCAGUAGGGAAUAUUGGACAAUGGGCGAAAGCCUGAUCCAGCAAUGCCGCGUGAGUGAUGAAGGCCUUAGGGUUGUAAAGCUCUUUUACCCGGGAUGAUAAUGACAGUACCGGGAGAAUAAGCUCCGGCUAACUCCGUG